Molecule: long non-coding RNA, 731 nt
Organism: Perca fluviatilis (European perch)
Lineage: Eukaryota; Metazoa; Chordata; Actinopteri; Perciformes; Percidae
Exons: 5
Source: RefSeq, a predicted model, not a curated record
GGGUCUCAUUUUUCUGUUUGUCAUCCUUUUUGUUUUUUCUGUACAGGGAGACCGUGAAUUAAAAAGAAAUCUGAGACUUGUUUUCAACUAUGGACAUUUCUCUGAGUGAAAUGACAAACAGACGAUACACCUACCUUUGAUAUAUGUCCUAAUUAGGUCUACUGUAUCGCUGUGCUGUAUUGAGAAAGAUCACUCACUAAACGGUUCAAGCUCCAUCCUGUUGGUUCUGACCAACACUACAGGGUGGAAGCUCAUGACGGACACAGCCUGGCAGGUAGCUGUUUUCACGCUGAUGUCCGCCACAGACAGAAGCUCUACCAGAACCUUCUCCACAUUCUGCCCAUGGAGCAGUUUACGAUUCUCAGCUGCACCCAUGUACACGCACAGACAACAAAACAAACACAGAAAACACACACAGAUAAGCUCUGAGCAACCCUGGCGAUGCAUUUAACAGCGUUGGACUGGAUUUCAGGUGUUGCAUGUAUCUGUAUCAGUGGUGACAUUCUGCAGCGUUUUUAAAGCCAAAUGCUGAAUGACCGGGAAGUCGGACUUCAACAGUUCCAGAAGUGGAGGGAUCCCUCCCAACUCAUGUAAUGCCAGACGACUUUGGUGGUCCUUCAUACAUACAGCACAACACAGAAUACAAGAAGACAACAAGAACUUUGGAACAAUACAUUUCACCCAUGCCCUUUUAACCUUCUCUAAACUGACAGCUUUGAGUCACCUGAACC